AACGAACGCUGGCGGCAGGCCUAACACAUGCAAGUCGAGCGCCCUUUCGGGGGAGCGGCGGACGGGUGAGUAACGCGUGGGAAUAUGCCCUUCUCUACGGAAUAGCCUCGGGAAACUGAGAGUAAUACCGUAUACGCCCUUUGGGGGAAAGAUUUAUCGGGGAAGGAUUAGCCCGCGUUGGAUUAGGUAGUUGGUGGGGUAAUGGCCUACCAAGCCGACGAUCCAUAGCUGGUUUGAGAGGAUGAUCAGCCACACUGGGACUGAGACACGGCCCAGACUCCCACGGGAGGGAGGAGGUGGGAAUCCUAGAAAAAUGGGGCAAACCCGAUCCAGCCAAGGCGGGUUAGGGAUGAAGGCCUUAGGGUUGUAAAGCCUCUUUAGCCUGGAAGAUAAUGACGGUACCAGCAGAAGAAGCCCCGGCUAACUCCGUG
This 431-nucleotide ribosomal RNA is filed under the name uncultured bacterium. RNAcentral's name for it is "partial 16S ribosomal RNA". It matches the Rfam family "Bacterial small subunit ribosomal RNA", at positions 29 to 507 of the family's 1533-position model. The record is from RNAcentral.